This 175-nucleotide ribosomal RNA is filed under the name uncultured bacterium. RNAcentral's name for it is "partial 16S ribosomal RNA". It matches the Rfam family "Bacterial small subunit ribosomal RNA", at positions 1326 to 1500 of the family's 1533-position model. The record is from RNAcentral.
CUGGAAUCGCUAGUAAUCGCGAAUCAGAAUGUCGCGGUGAAUACGUUCCCGGGCCUUGUACACACCGCCCGUCACACCAUGAGAGCCGGUAAUACCCGAAGUCAGUAUCCUAACCGCAAGGAGGGAGCUGCCGAAGGUAGGAUUGGCGAUUGGGGUGAAGUCGUAACAAGGUAAC